Molecule: long non-coding RNA, 837 nt
Organism: Homo sapiens (human)
Lineage: Eukaryota; Metazoa; Chordata; Mammalia; Primates; Hominidae
Source: Ensembl
CUGAGAUUGUGCCACUGCACUCCAGUCUGGGUGACAGAGGGAGACUCUGUCUCAAUAAAUAAAUAAAUAGAGUGUGAAUUUAAUUUAAAAAUAAGGCAUUGUAAGAUUUUUAAGCAGCAGAGUAACAUGGUUCAGGAGGCUAUUGCUGAGGUCCAGAAAAGAGAUGAUAGUGGCUUCAACUGGGGUGAUGGCAGUGAAGAUGAUGAGUAAUGGGUAUAUUUAAGAUAUUUUUAGGCUUGGCAUUGUGGAUCACACUUGUAAUCCCAGCAUUUUGGGAGGCCUAGCCAGGCAGGUCCCUUGAGCCCAGGAGUUUGAGACCAGCCUGGGCAACAUGGUGAAACUGUCUCUGCAAAAUAUAUAAAAAUUAUUCAGUCCUGGUGGUGUGUGCCUGUAGUCCCACCUACUUGAGAGGCUGAGGUGGGAGGAUCACCUGAGACCAGGAGGUUGAGGUUGCAGUGAGCUGUGAUUUCACCACUGCACUCCAGUCUGGGCAACCGAGUGAGACCCUGUCUCAAAAAUAAUUUUAAAAUAGGCCGGGCCUGGUGGCUCAUGCCUGUAUUCCCAGCACUUUGGGAGCCCAAGGCGGGUGGAUCACCUGAGGUCAGGGGUUCAAGACCAGCCUGGCCAACAUGGUGAAACCCCGUCUCUACUGAAAAUACAAAAAAUUAGCCAGGCGGGUGGCGGGCGCCUAUAAAACCAGCUACUCAGGAGGCUGAGGCAGGAGAAUCACUUGAACCUGGGAGGCAGAGGUUGCAGUGAGCCGAGAUUGCGCCACUGCACUCCAGCCUGGGUGACAGAGCGAAACUCUGUAUCAAAAAAAAAAAAAAAAAAAAAAAA